UACGUAGGGUGCAAGCGUUAUCCGGAAUUAUUGGGCGUAAAGAGCUCGUAGGCGGUUUGUCGCGUCUGCUGUGAAAACUGGAGGCUCAACCUCCAGCCUGCAGUGGGUACGGGCAAACUAGAGUGCGGUAGGGGAGAUUGGAAUUCCUGGUGUAGCGGUGGAAUGCGCAGAUAUCAGGAGGAGCACCGAUGGCGAAGGCAGAUCUCUGGGCCGUAACUGACGCUGAGGAGCGAAAGCAUGGGGAGCGAACAGG
This 253-nucleotide ribosomal RNA is filed under the name uncultured bacterium. Its description in RNAcentral is "partial 16S ribosomal RNA". It matches the Rfam family "Bacterial small subunit ribosomal RNA", at positions 524 to 776 of the family's 1533-position model. The record is from RNAcentral.